UACGAAGGGGGCUAGCGUUGCUCGGAUUGACUGGGCGUAAAGGGCGCGUAGGCGGUUCGUACAGUCAGACGUGAAAUUCCUGGGCUCAACCUGGGGGCUGCGUUUGAUACGUGCGGACUUGAGUGCGGAAGAGGGUCGUGGAAUUCCCAGUGUAGAGGUGAAAUGCGUAGAUAUCUGGAGGAACACCGGUGGCGAAGGCGGCAUCCUGGACCGGCAUUGACGCUGAGGAGCGAAAGCCAGGGGAGCAAACGGG
RNAcentral lists this ribosomal RNA (253 nucleotides) under uncultured bacterium. RNAcentral describes it as "partial 16S ribosomal RNA". It matches the Rfam family "Bacterial small subunit ribosomal RNA", at positions 524 to 776 of the family's 1533-position model. The record is from RNAcentral.